This 449-nucleotide ribosomal RNA is filed under the name Pupilla muscorum. RNAcentral's name for it is "partial 16S ribosomal RNA". It matches the Rfam family "Archaeal large subunit ribosomal RNA", at positions 1908 to 2666 of the family's 2987-position model. Lineage: Eukaryota; Metazoa; Mollusca; Gastropoda; Stylommatophora; Pupillidae. The record is from RNAcentral.
UAGCUUAAAGUUUAUUUUUAGGUGAGACCUGCUCAAUGAAGAUGUAGAUUAUUUAAAUAGCCGCAGUACUUUGACUGUGCUAAGGUAGCAUAAUAAAUUGGCUUUUAAUUGAAGUCUGGAAUGAAAGGUAAAUUUGAAAAAGAUUGUCUCUAAUUAGAUUUAUUAAACUUACUUAAUAGGUGAAAAUUCCUAUGUUUUUCAUAAUAGACGAGAAGACCCUAAGAAUUAUUAAAAAUAAGUUUAUUUUACUUUAAUUUUUUGUUGGGGCAACAACUUUGAACAUAAAACCAAAGGGUUAAAGAUUCUAAGACAAAUUUUAUUUUGAAAAAAAUUAAUUACCUUAGGGAUAACAGCAUAAUUUUCUUUUUAGAUUGUGACCUCGAUGUUGGAUUAAGGACCCCUUAGGUAAGCCACUUAAGAGAAUAGUUCUGUUCGAACUUUAUAUCCUU